GUGAAUCAUCGAAUCUUUGAACGCAAAUUGCACUCUCCGGUUUUCCGGGAGCGUAUGCCUGUUUGCGGGUCAGCCUAAAAAAAAUCGACAUUGUUGCUGUUAUUUAAUGGUGACUUUCGUCGGAGAUUGGGUUAUCUUAAACCUUUUUUUUUUUUUUGUUAUAAGCGUCAUAAUAUUUUUUUUCACGUCUACAUACAUGU
This 200-nucleotide unclassified non-coding RNA is filed under the name Glomus sp. RNAcentral describes it as "partial contains 5.8S ribosomal RNA and internal transcribed spacer 2". The stretch from base 1 to 72 matches the Rfam family "5.8S ribosomal RNA", at positions 84 to 154 of the family's 154-position model. The record is from RNAcentral. Lineage: Eukaryota; Fungi; Glomeromycota; Glomeromycetes; Glomerales; Glomeraceae.